GUCCACGCCCUAAACGGUGGAUGCUAGGUGUGGGGGGUGUCGACCCCCUCUGUGCCGUAGCUAACGCAUUAAGCAUCCCGCCUGGGGAGUACGGCCGCAAGGCUAAAACUCAAAGGAAUUGACGGGGGCCCGCACAAGCGGCGGAGCGUGUGGUUUAAUUCGAUGCAACGCGAAGAACCUUACCAGGGCUUGACAUGCUAGUGGUACCGAUCCGAAAGGUGAAGGACCCUUCGGGGAGCUAGCACAGGUGCUGCAUGGCUGUCGU
This 265-nucleotide ribosomal RNA is filed under the name uncultured bacterium. RNAcentral describes it as "partial 16S ribosomal RNA". It matches the Rfam family "Bacterial small subunit ribosomal RNA", at positions 793 to 1055 of the family's 1533-position model. The record is from RNAcentral.